UGGAGGUUCCCUUUCUUUCAUCUCAGAUCUUAAAAAAGGUUGGGAAGCCUGGACGGUCGAAAGUAACUUCGUGACAGCAAUAAUCAUUCUCUCCAGCAGCCUGAAACAGUUGGGUGAUCUCAGAGUCGAUUCCCGAGCCCGACUACAACACGAGAGCUAAGUGGCGCAAAAAGCGAAUGCGUAGGCUGAAGCGAAAGCGCAGGAAGAUGCGCGCCCGUUCAAAGUAGAUUCUUUACACUUCUGAGGAGCGGAAGAAAUCGGCACUUGAUUCGUUGAGGUAGUUUUCAGUUAAUUGAAAUACUUUACCACACGAUCUGCAAUCAAAUAUAAUCUCUGUGAAAUAGUAUGAUUAUUGUAAUCAUGUAAACAUGUUGCAAUAGAUUUCUUUGCUUUGAA
This is a long non-coding RNA of Daphnia carinata, 396 nucleotides long. RefSeq lists it as uncharacterized. The transcript has 4 exons. NCBI's taxonomy places the organism in Eukaryota, Metazoa, Arthropoda, Branchiopoda, Diplostraca, Daphniidae. The record is from RefSeq and is a predicted model, not a curated record.